CCUACGGGAGGCAGCAGUGAGGAAUAUUGGUCAAUGGGCGCGAGCCUGAACCAGCCAUGUCGCGUGAAGGAUGACUGCUCUAUGGGUUGUAAACUUCUUUUAUAAAGGGAUAAACCGAGGUACGUGUAUUUUUCUGUAUGUACUUUAUGAAUAAGGAUCGGCUAACUCCGUGCCAGCAGCCGCGGUAAUACGGAGGAUCCGAGCGUUAUCCGGAUUUAUUGGGUUUAAAGGGAGCGUAGGUGGAUUGUUAAGUCAGAUGUGAAAUGUGGCGGCUCAACCGGAAAAUUGCAACUGAUACUGGUGACCUUGAGAGCAGAUGAGGUAGGCGGAA
This 331-nucleotide ribosomal RNA is filed under the name uncultured bacterium. Its description in RNAcentral is "partial 16S ribosomal RNA". It matches the Rfam family "Bacterial small subunit ribosomal RNA", at positions 338 to 666 of the family's 1533-position model. The record is from RNAcentral.